AAGGCGCCGGCGGCAGCAGCAGCCGCCCCGGCUGCAGUGGGAAAACGUAGGGGAAGACCUAAGAAGGAGGAGAAGGAAGAAAAGGCAUCCCAGGAAUCAUCUGAGGAGGAGGAGGAAGAGGAGGAGGAAGAUGAAGACCAGUGCCACCACAUGACCACUGUUCACGACAAAGCCCUCGUUGCCAAGAGGAGGGUUAACACAGUACCAAUAUCAUGCAGCCGCACUGGAUAGAACGAUGGACCUUUGAUCUAAGAAUUACAAGAACGGUAACGGCCCUUUUUCUCAAUGCGUCAUCGCGAGUCUUUUCUACUGGACGAACGUGUGCUCCGAGGAGCCUGGCCAUUUCAGUUUUUCCGGUUUGUAGGACAUUCUCUCUGCUUAGUGUUCCUUAUG
This is a long non-coding RNA of Gasterosteus aculeatus aculeatus (three-spined stickleback), 393 nucleotides long. The record is from Ensembl. Lineage: Eukaryota; Metazoa; Chordata; Actinopteri; Perciformes; Gasterosteidae.